AUUCUCUCAGGAAAAAAAACAAGGUCCCCACAGCAAAGAAAAGGGAAUAGGAUAAAGAGAUACGUGGCUGCUGGCAGAGCAAGCCAGCCGCAAGUCCACCUAGUUCCUGGGAACCCACCGAGUUUCGUGUCGAAUGUGAACGGGCAGCCUGUGCAGAAAGCUUUGAAAGAAGGCAAAACCUUGGGGGCCAUCCAGAUCAUCAUUGGCCUGGCUCACAUCGGCCUCGGCUCCAUCAUGGCGACGGUUCUCGUAGGGGAAUACCUGUCUAUUUCAUUCUACGGAGGCUUUCCCUUCUGGGGAGGCUUGUGGUUUAUCAUUUCAGGAUCUCUCUCCGUGGCAGCAGAAAAUCAGCCAUAUUCUUAUUGCCUGCUGUCUGGCAGUUUGGGCUUGAACAUCGUCAGUGCAAUCUGCUCUGCAGUUGGAGUCAUACUCUUCAUCACAGAUCUAAGUAUUCCCCACCCAUAUGCCUACCCCAACUAUUAUACUUACGCCUGGGGUGUGGUGAGUAUCCCUCUCAACCAAAGAUCCUCUAAGUUCAGAAUUAGCUACAUUUAGAAAACUCCCAGAAAGGGCCUGACAACCA
Molecule: small RNA, 583 nt
Filed under: Pongo abelii (Sumatran orangutan)
Lineage: Eukaryota; Metazoa; Chordata; Mammalia; Primates; Hominidae
Description: retained intron
Source: RNAcentral